Molecule: ribosomal RNA, 112 nt
Filed under: Cinnagrostis mandoniana
Lineage: Eukaryota; Viridiplantae; Streptophyta; Magnoliopsida; Poales; Poaceae
Description: partial 5.8S ribosomal RNA
Rfam family: 5.8S ribosomal RNA
About the family: 5.8S ribosomal RNA (5.8S rRNA) is a component of the large subunit of the eukaryotic ribosome. It is transcribed by RNA polymerase I as part of the 45S precursor that also contains 18S and 28S rRNA.
Source: RNAcentral
AGCGAAAUGCGAUACCUGGUGUGAAUUGCAGAAUCCCGCGAACCAUCGAGUCUUUGAACGCAAGUUGCGCCCGAGGCCAUCCGGCCGAGGGCACGCCUGCCUGGGCGUCACG